GCCUGGGUAGCUCAGUUGGUAGAGCGCUUCCCUGAAGAGGAAUAGGUCGCCGGUUCGAUUCCGGCCCCAGGCACCA
Molecule: transfer RNA, 76 nt
Filed under: bacterium
Lineage: Bacteria
Description: tRNA-Phe
Rfam family: tRNA
About the family: Transfer RNA (tRNA) molecules are approximately 80 nucleotides in length.
Source: RNAcentral